AGCCCAUGGAUCAUACCACACUGUUCUUUCUGCAAAACAGUUGAGAAUUACCAGUAAUUGGGACUGUUUACAUUCAAUGCCAUCCUGACAGAAGCAGCUUUAUUAUAUUGCAGAGGGAUAAUUAAUAUAUGAUGGGGAUUAAAGAUUGCAUCACAGCAGAUUGAAUCCCAAGUUCCACCCAGGAAGAGGAGGGGCCGGGCUCCUUCCUGCUGCAAGGGCCAGAAAUUCUGUGUCUUGCAGUGUCAUAGGAUUCAUAAGUAUGAGAGAGAUCUGCCCGGAAUAUGUGAAGAGAAUUUGGAGGACACAUUGGGAACUGCAUGGAUCUCACCUAUAGGAGAUAUUACCCAACAUGACAGGGACUGAAAAGAAGCAGGUAGCCGUCCCCU
Molecule: non-coding RNA, 386 nt
Organism: Macaca mulatta (Rhesus monkey)
Lineage: Eukaryota; Metazoa; Chordata; Mammalia; Primates; Cercopithecidae
Source: RefSeq, a predicted model, not a curated record